This 396-nucleotide ribosomal RNA is filed under the name uncultured archaeon. RNAcentral describes it as "bacterial SSU rRNA". It matches the Rfam family "Archaeal small subunit ribosomal RNA", at positions 343 to 747 of the family's 1478-position model. The record is from RNAcentral.
GUGCACCAGGCGCGAAAGCGUGAGACCGCGAAUCUGAGUGCCAAGGAGAACCUUGGCUGUGAUGGAGUGUUCAAAGCUCCAACAGCAAGCAGAGGGCAAGGCUGGUGCCAGCCGCCGCGGUAAAACCAGCUCUGCGAGUGCCUAGCGCGAUUAUUGGGCUUAAAGCAUCCGUAGCCGGAUAAGUAGGUCUCUGGUUAAAUCUGCAAGCUUAACUUGUAGGCUGUCAGAGAUACCACUAAUCUAGGGAAUAGGAGAGGUGAACGGUACUGCGAGAGAAGCGGUGAAAUGCGUUGAUUCUCGCAGGACCCACAGUGGCGAAGGCGGUUCACUGGAAUAUCUCCGACGGUGAUGGAUGAAAGCCAGGGGAGCGAAAGGGAUUAGAUACCCCCGUAGUCC